Molecule: ribosomal RNA, 253 nt
Filed under: uncultured bacterium
Lineage: Bacteria
Description: partial 16S ribosomal RNA
Rfam family: Bacterial small subunit ribosomal RNA
Source: RNAcentral
UACGAAGGGGGCUAGCGUUGUUCGGAUUUACUGGGCGUAAAGCGCACGUAGGCGGAUCUUUAAGUCAGGGGUGAAAUCCCGAGGCUCAACCUCGGAACUGCCUUUGAUACUGGGGAUCUCGAGUCCGGGAGAGGUGAGUGGAACUGCGAGUGUAGAGGUGAAAUUCGUAGAUAUUCGCAAGAACACCAGUGGCGAAGGCGGCUCACUGGCCCGGUACUGACGCUGAGGUGCGAAAGCGUGGGGAGCAAACAGG